Molecule: long non-coding RNA, 1632 nt
Organism: Engraulis encrasicolus (European anchovy)
Lineage: Eukaryota; Metazoa; Chordata; Actinopteri; Clupeiformes; Engraulidae
Exons: 3
Source: RefSeq, a predicted model, not a curated record
UCUAUUUACCAUGUUUUCACAGGCUGCUGUCUCAUAAUAUGGCGAAGACGAGUCACUUGAAGGCCUAACAGCUCUUAUGAGGAGCAGUCUUGCCAUAGAAGACUGAAAGAAUGUAAGAUUAACUUCUUUGUGACCAAUAUGACUUGCUCAUUGAUACAUUUGCUAUGUCAAUAUGAGAUGCAUGGCGAAGUAUUUAAUUUAUUUGUCUCUCUUCUAGGAGCUGUAGAAACAACAGGGUGCCUGCUGCAGUAUGACGAGGACGCCCUGAUCAUAGAAGGUCCAGUGUCUUGGCAGGGUGAAAUGGCACUGAUAUCGUGUCCUGCAGGAUGCUGUGUCCUGCAAUCCUGUGUGCUGUGCUACAGACGCGUGUGGAGGUCAACCCGAAAUGGGCACAGUAGAGUGAAAGAGGAUCCUGGCAGGGAGACGGUAGUGUCCUGCAGGAUGGUGAUGGGCAAUCUUACAAGAGACCACAGAAAACUGAUAUAGUGUAAGAUUAUCCCUGUUGGGCUCAAUAUGUCUUGCUUAUUGAUAUAUUUGCUAUGUCAAUAUGAGGUGCAUGACGAAGUAUUUAUUUAUUUGUUGUUUCUACAGCUCCCAGAAGUGAGACUGAGUGCCUGUUGCAGUAUGACGAGGAAGCAGUGACCAGAGACCUUCAGUAGACCCUGCUGGCAUGAUUGGCGGCUGAAGAACAUGAAAUCAACAGCAAUGUUUAUAAUAUUGUACAUACCUGUAUAGUCUGCACUAAAAUGCUGUACCUGUACUAUUUUUCCUCUUACUUUCAUAUUUACCACGUAUUUACUAUGAAUUGACAACUUUUACUCAAAUCCAUUUUUGUAUGUGCCCUGACUAAAACUAUCCUUAAACCUAACCUGUCAGAGGUGUAAUAACAACCUGCUCUUAGCAAUGUGGCAGCAGUCUACUUGGAUGCAGCGGGGAACAUAGAACCCUUUUUUUUGAAAAAGCAUUGUAUGUUUCUGAGUUUUAUGAAUUGUGCCCUUCCCAAACCUAACCUGUCGUAGGGGCCUAUGAAAUCCGUUUUAAUUUUUCUCAAAUUCCGUUUUAUUUUUCCUCAUUCAGUUUUUUUCUGAUAAAUUUUUUGCCAAAUUGGAUUUUUUUUACAUUUUUGAACUUAUUUUCCCCUUUCAUUCCCCCCCACACACAAAAUUUCUUAGUUAUUUAGUUCAAACUGGUGGGUGGACAGAGCCAACCACUCAUGGUUGAAUGGUAGGUAGAGAAAAGAAAAGUAAAAUUACCUACUAGCUUUUUGUAAUAUCAGCCCUCAAAAAUAUUCCAGGUAAUAAGGUAGCUGUAAUGUACAUGCGCAUAUAUUCUAUUAAAUACACGUGACGCACCCAACUAGAAGGCGAAUUCACUUCUGGUGCAUUGAAGUUGUUGGACUCUGGCUGCAUCAGGUUUUCUCGAAUACGUUUGGCUAUAUUGCAACGUGCAGCUUAGAGACAUUUUUGGUCACGUUAUAUGUAGGCAUUAAAUAAAUAGCCUCGCAAAGUCCCUACCGUCUACCGUUUCACUCAAACACAUGUUUUACAAGACGGCCGUUUUCUUCUGAUGGUGACUUGACCCUUUUUCAAAGUUGAUGCUAACUUUUAGUCACUAUGCUCCGUGGCCAACAAA